This 467-nucleotide ribosomal RNA is filed under the name uncultured bacterium. Its description in RNAcentral is "bacterial SSU rRNA". It matches the Rfam family "Bacterial small subunit ribosomal RNA", at positions 28 to 526 of the family's 1533-position model. The record is from RNAcentral.
GACGAACGUUGGCGGCGUGGAUUAGGCAUGCAAGUCGCGGGAAUCCCAGCAAUGGGGGAACCGGCGUAAGGGGCAGUAAUGCGUGGGUACCUACCCCGGGGUCCGGGAUAGCCGUCCGAGAGGGCGGGUAAUACCGGAUGACCUCGGGAGAGCAAAGCUCCGGCGCCCCGGGAGGGGCCCACGUGAUAUUAGCUAGUUGGCGGGGUGACGGCCCACCAAGGCGGAGAUGUCUAGCGGGUGUGAGAGCACGACCCGCGCCACUCGCACUGAGACACUGGCGAGACACCUACGGGUGGCUGCAGUCGAGGAUCUUCGGCAAUGCGCGCAAGCGCGACCGAGCGACGCCGCGUGGGCGAUGAAGGCCUUCGGGUUGUAAAGCCCUGUCGAGGGGGAGAAAAGCUCGAAAGAGUGUGAUCUAUCCCUGGAGGAAGCUCGGGCUAAGUUCGUGCCAGCCGCCGCCGUAACAC